Molecule: ribosomal RNA, 639 nt
Filed under: Salmonella enterica subsp. enterica serovar Coeln
Lineage: Bacteria; Pseudomonadati; Pseudomonadota; Gammaproteobacteria; Enterobacterales; Enterobacteriaceae
Description: partial 23S ribosomal RNA
Rfam family: Bacterial large subunit ribosomal RNA
Source: RNAcentral
CAGGUUUACCUGUGUGACUGCGUACCUUUUGUAUAAUGGGUCAGCGACUUAUAUUCUGUAGCAAGGUUAACCGUAUAGGGGAGCCGGAGGGAAACCGAGUCUUAAUUGGGCGUUAAGUUGCAGGGUAUAGACCCGAAACCCGGUGAUCUAGCCAUGGGCAGGUUGAAGGUUGGGUAACACUAACUGGAGGACCGAACCGACUAAUGUUGAAAAAUUAGCGGAUGACCUGUGGCUGGGGGUGAAAGGCCAAUCAAACCGGGAGAUAGCUGGUUCUCCCCGAAAGCUAUUUAGGUAGCGCCUCGUGAAUUCAUCUCCGGGGGUAGAGCACUGUUUCGGCUAGGGGGCCAUCCCGGCUUACCAACCCGAUGCAAACUGCGAAUACCGGAGAAUGUUAUCACGGGAGACACACGGCGGGUGCUAACGUCCGUCGUGAAGAGGGAAACAACCCAGACCGCCAGCUAAGGUCCCAAAGUCAUGGUUAAGUGGGAAACGAUGUGGGAAGGCCCAGACAGCCAGGAUGUUGGCUUAGAAGCAGCCAUCAUUUAAAGAAAGCGUAAUAGCUCACUGGUCGAGUCGGCCUGCGCGGAAGAUGUAACGGGGCUAAACCAUGCACCGAAGCUGCGGCAGCGAACGUAUCAC